AGUGAACGCUGGCGGUAGGCCUAACACAUGCAAGUCGAACGGCAGCACCGUAAGAGCUUGCUCUUACGGGUGUAGAGUGGCGGACGGGUGCGGAAUACAUCGGAAUCUACUUUUUCGUGGGGGCUAAUGUCGGGAAACUUACGCUAAUACCGCAUACGACGUACGGGUGAAAGCAGGGGAUCUUCGGACCUUGUGCGAUUGAAUGAGCCGAUGUCGGCUUAGCUUGUUGGCGGGGUAAAGGCCCACAAAGGCGACGAUCCGUAGCUGGUCUGAGAGGAAGGUCAGCCAGACUGUAAGUGAGACAGGUCCGAGACUCCGACAGUGGGCAGCAGUGGGGAAUAUUGGACGAUGGGGGCAAGCCGAAUCCAGCCAUACCGCGUGAGUGAAGAAGGCCUUCUGGUUGGAGAGUCCUUAUGUUGGGAAAGAAAAGCAGCAGUUUAAUACCCCGCUAUUCUGACGGUACCCAAAGAAUAAGCACCGGCUAACUUCGUG
This 492-nucleotide ribosomal RNA is filed under the name uncultured bacterium. RNAcentral's name for it is "partial 16S ribosomal RNA". It matches the Rfam family "Bacterial small subunit ribosomal RNA", at positions 29 to 507 of the family's 1533-position model. The record is from RNAcentral.